This is a long non-coding RNA of Patella vulgata (common limpet), 617 nucleotides long. RefSeq lists it as uncharacterized. The record is from RefSeq and is a predicted model, not a curated record. Lineage: Eukaryota; Metazoa; Mollusca; Gastropoda; Patellidae. The transcript is spliced from 3 exons.
GUUACAUGGUUGAAUAGCGGUGAUACAUUCUUCUUUGCUAAUGGUAAAAGAAACGUUGCUGGUCAUGACCUGAAAUUGACACAGACGACCGCUGAUGGAGGCGUCGAUAAAUUUGGAGAAUGGACCAGAACUAAUUUCCAUUACACUGCUGGAACAUCACAAAUCAUAGCUGCUAUUAAGACAUACAAUAACAAUUCAACUCCAUUUGUCAUCUUUAGUCAGCAAUAUGUUAAUGGUGCUAAUAAUACUGAUGCUGGGAACGUGGAUUAUUCCAUCUCGUCUUUUCCUGGAUUUAAAAUCGAAAAGGGCACGCCUGCUUUAGGAUAUCUGUCAUAUGGUGGAAUGAUGUUUGGUGAUACCGAGAAAAAGAUGGGAUCUUGGGGCUAUUCCACAACCAAAAUAAACUACGGUAUUAAAGGUGGUCCAUUGGCAUUGUUUGAUCAAACUGGUGACACUAUCAUUAUCUCUUCAGCCAACAACUUUAUGUCCACAUCCGUUUGGCAUGAGUCAUUCUUAGACAUAGGUGGUUCUGUACACUGGGGUACUAUGGGUGGCGUAACUGAAGUUCCGCCUGGUCAUGUAGUUGAAACCGUACUUUACUACCACAACGGGGGCAU